Molecule: ribosomal RNA, 458 nt
Filed under: uncultured bacterium
Lineage: Bacteria
Description: partial 16S ribosomal RNA
Rfam family: Bacterial small subunit ribosomal RNA
Source: RNAcentral
CCUACGGGAGGCUGCAGUGAGGAAUAUUGGUCAAUGGGCGAGAGCCUGAACCAGCCAAGUCGCGUGAGGGAGUACUGCCCUAUGGGUUGUAAACCUCUUUUGUCGGGGAGCAAAAGCCGGACGUGUCCGGCUGUGAGAGUACCCGAAGAAAAAGCAUCGGCUAACUCCGUUCCAGCAGCCGCGGUAAUACGGAGGAUGCGAGCGUUAUCCGGAUUUAUUGGGUUUAAAGGGGGCGCAGGCGGAUUCUUAAGUCAGCGGUAAAAUCGGGGGGUUAAACCCCAUCCAGCCGUUGAAACUGGGGAUCUAGAGUGUGCGAGAGGUAUGCGGAAUGUGUGGUGUAGCGGUGAAAUGCAUAGAUAUCACGCAGAACCCCGAUUGCGAAGGCAGCAUACCGGUGCACAACUGACGCUCAGGCACGAAAGCGUGGGUAUCGAACAGGAUUAGAUACCCUUGUAGUC